Molecule: ribosomal RNA, 253 nt
Filed under: uncultured bacterium
Lineage: Bacteria
Description: partial 16S ribosomal RNA
Rfam family: Bacterial small subunit ribosomal RNA
Source: RNAcentral
UACGUAGGGUGCGAGCGUUAAUCGGAAUUACUGGGCGUAAAGUGUGCGCAGGCGGCCGAGCAAGUCGAGUGUGAAAGCCCCGAGCUUAACUUGGGAAUUGCGCUCGAAACUACGGUGCUGGAGUGUGGCAGAGGGAGGUGGAAUUCCACGUGUAGCGGUGAAAUGCGUAGAGAUGUGGAGGAACACCGAUGGCGAAGGCAGCCUCCUGGGCCAACACUGACGCUGAGGAACGAAAGCCAGGGUAGCGAACGGG